UGUAGCUCAGUGGUACAGCAUGUGCUUAACAUGUACAAGGUACUGGAUUCAAUUCCCAGCA
Molecule: transfer RNA, 61 nt
Filed under: Fukomys damarensis (Damara mole-rat)
Lineage: Eukaryota; Metazoa; Chordata; Mammalia; Rodentia; Bathyergidae
Rfam family: tRNA
About the family: Transfer RNA (tRNA) molecules are approximately 80 nucleotides in length. Their secondary structure includes four short double-helical elements and three loops (D, anti-codon, and T loops).
Source: Rfam by way of RNAcentral